AACGCACGAGACCUGCGGACCUGCGGAAGGAUCAUUAGUGAGAAACUGCCCCUCGCGGGUAGAUCUCCCACCCUUUGUAAACUUACCUUUGUUGCUUUGGCAGGCCCGUCUCCGGACCGCCGGCUUCGGCUGGCCAGUGCCUGCCAGAGGAUUCUAAAACUCUGUCUGUCAGUGUUGUCUGAGUCUAUAUACAAUCGUUAAAACUUUCAACAAUGGAUCUCUAGAUCGGAAGAGCACACG
This 240-nucleotide unclassified non-coding RNA is filed under the name soil metagenome. Its description in RNAcentral is "partial contains 5.8S ribosomal RNA, internal transcribed spacer 2, and large subunit ribosomal RNA". The record is from RNAcentral.